Molecule: unclassified non-coding RNA, 315 nt
Filed under: plant metagenome
Description: partial contains 5.8S ribosomal RNA, internal transcribed spacer 2, and large subunit ribosomal RNA
Rfam family: 5.8S ribosomal RNA (bases 1-105)
Source: RNAcentral
GAAAUGCGAUAAGUAAUGUGAAUUGCAGAAUUCCGUGAAUCAUCGAAUCUUUGAACGCACAUUGCGCCCUCUGGCAUUCCGGGGGGCAUGCCUGUCCGAGCGUCAUUGCUGCCCUUCAAGCCCGGCUUGUGUGUUGGGUCGUCGUCCCCUCCGGGGGACGGGCCCGAAAGGCAGCGGCGGCACCGCGUCCGGUCCUCGAGCGUAUGGGGCUUUGUCACCCGCUCGAUAAGGACCGGCCGGGCGCCAGCCGGCGUCUCCAACCUUUUUUUCUCAGGUUGACCUCGGAUCAGGUAGGGAUACCCGCUGAACUUAAGC